AACGCGAAGAACCUUACCAGGUCUUGACAUGCCUCUGACCGCUCUAGAGAUAGAGCUUCUCUUCGGAGCAGGGGACACAGGUGGUGCAUGGUUGUCGUCAGCUCGUGUCGUGAGAUGUUGGGUUAAGUCCCGCAACGAGCGCAACCCCUAAUGUUAGUUGCCAGCACCUCGGGUGGGCACUCUAACGUGACUGCCGGUGACAAACCGGAGGAAGGUGGGGAUGACGUCAAGUCAUCAUGCCCCUUAUGUCUUGGGCUGCACACGUGCUACAAUGGCCGGUACAAAGAGCUGCGUAACCGUGAGGUGGAGCGAAUCUCAAAAAGCCGGUCUCAGUUCGGAUUGUGGUCUGCAACUCGACCCCAUGAAGUCGGAGUUGCUAGUAAUCGCAGAUCAGCAUUGCUGCGGUGAAUACGUUCCCGGGCCUUGUACACACCG
Molecule: ribosomal RNA, 435 nt
Filed under: uncultured Paenibacillus sp.
Lineage: Bacteria; Bacillati; Bacillota; Bacilli; Caryophanales; Paenibacillaceae
Description: bacterial SSU rRNA
Rfam family: Bacterial small subunit ribosomal RNA
Source: RNAcentral